GCCUUCCAAGCAGUUGACCCGGGU
Molecule: non-coding RNA, 24 nt
Filed under: Drosophila erecta
Lineage: Eukaryota; Metazoa; Arthropoda; Insecta; Diptera; Drosophilidae
Also listed under: 8 other names
Source: RNAcentral